RNAcentral lists this ribosomal RNA (917 nucleotides) under Mammaliicoccus sciuri. RNAcentral's name for it is "bacterial SSU rRNA". It matches the Rfam family "Bacterial small subunit ribosomal RNA", at positions 28 to 925 of the family's 1533-position model. The record is from RNAcentral. Lineage: Bacteria; Bacillati; Bacillota; Bacilli; Caryophanales; Staphylococcaceae.
GAUGAACGCUGGCGGCGUGCCUAAUACAUGCAAGUCGAGCGAACAGAUGAGAAGCUUGCUUCUCUGAUGUUAGCGGCGGACGGGUGAGUAACACGUGGGUAACCUACCUAUAAGACUGGGAUAACUCCGGGAAACCGGGGCUAAUACCGGAUAAUAUUUUGAACCGCAUGGUUCAAUAGUGAAAGACGGUUUCGGCUGUCACUUAUAGAUGGACCCGCGCCGUAUUAGCUAGUUGGUAAGGUAACGGCUUACCAAGGCGACGAUACGUAGCCGACCUGAGAGGGUGAUCGGCCACACUGGAACUGAGACACGGUCCAGACUCCUACGGGAGGCAGCAGUAGGGAAUCUUCCGCAAUGGGCGAAAGCCUGACGGAGCAACGCCGCGUGAGUGAUGAAGGUCUUCGGAUCGUAAAACUCUGUUGUUAGGGAAGAACAAAUUUGUUAGUAACUGAACAAGUCUUGACGGUACCUAACCAGAAAGCCACGGCUAACUACGUGCCAGCAGCCGCGGUAAUACGUAGGUGGCAAGCGUUAUCCGGAAUUAUUGGGCGUAAAGCGCGCGUAGGCGGUUUCUUAAGUCUGAUGUGAAAGCCCACGGCUCAACCGUGGAGGGUCAUUGGAAACUGGGAAACUUGAGUGCAGAAGAGGAGAGUGGAAUUCCAUGUGUAGCGGUGAAAUGCGCAGAGAUAUGGAGGAACACCAGUGGCGAAGGCGGCUCUCUGGUCUGUAACUGACGCUGAUGUGCGAAAGCGUGGGGAUCAAACAGGAUUAGAUACCCUGGUAGUCCACGCCGUAAACGAUGAGUGCUAAGUGUUAGGGGGUUUCCGCCCCUUAGUGCUGCAGCUAACGCAUUAAGCACUCCGCCUGGGGAGUACGACCGCAAGGUUGAAACUCAAAGGAAUUGACGGGGACCCGCA